UACGUAGGGUGCAAGCGUUGUCCGGAAUUAUUGGGCGUAAAGAGCUCGUAGGCGGUUUGUUGCGUCGGCUGUGAAAACCUGAGGCUCAACCUCAGGCCUGCAGUCGAUACGAGCAGACUAGAGUGUUGCAGGGGAGACUGGAAUUCCUGGUGUAGCGGUGAAAUGCGCAGAUAUCAGGAGGAACACCGGUGGCGAAGGCGGGUCUCUGGGCGACAACUGACGCUGAGGAGCGAAAGCGUGGGGAGCGAACAGG
Molecule: ribosomal RNA, 253 nt
Filed under: uncultured bacterium
Lineage: Bacteria
Description: partial 16S ribosomal RNA
Rfam family: Bacterial small subunit ribosomal RNA
Source: RNAcentral